GACGAACGCUGGCGGCGUGCUUAACACAUGCAAGUCGAACGGAAAGGCCCUACUUUUGUGGGGUGCUCGAGUGGCGAACGGGUGAGUAACACGUGAGUAACCUGCCCUUGACUUUGGGAUAACUUCAGGAAACUGGGGCUAAUACCGGAUAGGAGCUCCUGCUGCAUGGUGGGGGUUGGAAAGUUUCGGCGGUUGGGGAUGGACUCGCGGCUGAUCAGCUUGUUGGUGGGGUAGUGGCUUACCAAGGCUUUGACGGGUAGCCGGCCUGAGAGGGUGACCGGCCACAUUGGGACUGAGAUACGGCCCAGACUCCUACGGGAGGCAGCAGUGGGGAAUAUUGCACAAUGGGCGGAAGCCUGAUGCAGAAACGCCGCGUGCGGGAUGACGGCCUUCGGGUUGUAAACCGCUUUCGCCUGUGACGAAGCGUGAGUGACGGUAAUGGGUAAAGAAGCACCGGCUAACUACGUG
RNAcentral lists this ribosomal RNA (468 nucleotides) under uncultured bacterium. RNAcentral's name for it is "partial 16S ribosomal RNA". It matches the Rfam family "Bacterial small subunit ribosomal RNA", at positions 28 to 507 of the family's 1533-position model. The record is from RNAcentral.